GGCUUCCAUUGGGUUUGGCCAACGGCACACACAGGCAGAUCAGAAGACAGAAGGAGAGAGGGGUUGGGUCAUGUCUUCCUUGCUGCUUCCCUGCCUUGGUGUUAUAUCUCUGGCAUGCAUUCCUCCAUGAUGGCAGCUUCUGCUGAGGGGCCCCACCAGGGUUCCUGCUUUUUCUGAGGAUUGUAACACAGUGUCUUCCUUUGGCUUUGGUAUCAAGGUAAUGCUGGCCUCAUAAGGCAGAAUCAUAAUUCUCUACCAGCUGCUUAUUUUGGAGUCAUCUGGGUCUGGGGAUGGUUCUGGACAAAAAUACAAAUUUGGAGACCCAUCACUGGUUUGUAGGAUCAGAGGUGGACAUUUCAAGUUCAAUUAUGUUUGAUGACUCAUUAGGUUAAAGAAGCUGUCAGGUGGUAAAGUCACCCCAGGUAAUUU
This is a long non-coding RNA of Pan troglodytes (chimpanzee), 429 nucleotides long. RefSeq lists it as uncharacterized. Lineage: Eukaryota; Metazoa; Chordata; Mammalia; Primates; Hominidae. The transcript has 4 exons. The record is from RefSeq and is a predicted model, not a curated record.